GCUAGCAGUGAAAGAAGAAAUAGGAAUGCUGACUUUUUAAUACGUUAAUAGAGGUAGCAUGAAACUGGUGAAGUGAAUGAACCCAGUGAGAACAGACAGAGAACUGAAACAUGGCAAACUGCAUUGACCUGACGAGACAACGCAGAGGCAGUGGCAGACAGCCCUGAAGCAAUUAGCAGUAGUUUUGAAAACCACAUGCAGUGAGUGCAAAGGAGAAGAGCAGAAAGAUGGUUUGCUACAGGCUGCUCUAGAUGAACUGCAAGUUCUCCUUUCCCUGCAGCUGUGGAGCAUAGUGCAAAGGAGAACAGAGGGAGUCUUUGCACCUCUGAUACAGCAGGCUGCUGUUUGUUUUGGCUGACAUUUUCCUGCUGCACUGAACAGGAAUGGAGCAGGUAAAUGCUUCGUGACUACAGAAAGCGCCUGCAGACCUUGCACCCUUGUGCUGUGUCUCUCAAGCAUCUCAGUUGUCAUCUCCUGCAAAAUGAUGUCACGUUGUGGUGGGAAUGGGUACUGCUCUGUGCAGAGGGCUUUAUGUUUUUUCUAGUAGUUCUCUUUGAAUAAAGUAUAACUUAACACUA
This is a long non-coding RNA of Dromaius novaehollandiae (emu), 578 nucleotides long. RefSeq lists it as uncharacterized. The record is from RefSeq and is a predicted model, not a curated record. NCBI's taxonomy places the organism in Eukaryota, Metazoa, Chordata, Aves, Casuariiformes, Dromaiidae. The transcript has 2 exons.